Molecule: transfer RNA, 85 nt
Filed under: Felis catus (domestic cat)
Lineage: Eukaryota; Metazoa; Chordata; Mammalia; Carnivora; Felidae
Also listed under: 2 other names
Rfam family: tRNA
About the family: Transfer RNA (tRNA) molecules are approximately 80 nucleotides in length. Their secondary structure includes four short double-helical elements and three loops (D, anti-codon, and T loops).
Source: Rfam by way of RNAcentral
GCCUGGGUGGCUCAGUCGGUUGAGCAUCUGACUUUGGCUCAGGUCAUAAUCUCACAGUCCGUGAGUUCGAGCCCUGCAUCAGGCU